RNAcentral lists this ribosomal RNA (544 nucleotides) under Phyllonorycter issikii. Its description in RNAcentral is "eukaryotic LSU rRNA". Lineage: Eukaryota; Metazoa; Arthropoda; Insecta; Lepidoptera; Gracillariidae. The record is from RNAcentral.
GACCGGAGAGAUUCAUCGUCAUUCCGCGGCGCGUCGUGCCCCCGCUCGAUGCUGUCCCCCUCGGGGGGCGGUACGACGGAGGUCGACAGCGUCCGUGGACGGCGUGCACUUCUCUCUCAGUAAGACAUCGCGACCCGUUCGAUGUACGUCUACGCCCCGCACGGGAGCCCGGCGGCACUCGCUGCCGUCGGACCGAGCGGCGGCCGGCCUACUGUCGGACGGUAUAAAGAUUUGAACCGCGCACGCGCUACGCGCGUCCGGCACGACGCAAUAUGUCGCCGCACUGCGGUCCUGCCUCGCGGCGGUUCGCGGUGCUGUGGCGUAUGUUGUCGCAGCCGUAUAGUCUCGGACUGUGCGCGUCUCGGUCUGCGAUGAUUCAGUUUCGGGCACUCGCAGGACCCGUCUUGAAACACGGACCAAGGAGUCUAGCAUGUGUGCGAGUCAUUAAGAUUUGAAAACUGAAAGGCGCAACGAAAGUGAAGGCGUGUGCUCCGCACGCGCUCAGGGAGGAUGGGGUGCGAUCUCGGUCGCGCUCUCGCACUCC